This 329-nucleotide ribosomal RNA is filed under the name uncultured bacterium. RNAcentral's name for it is "bacterial SSU rRNA". It matches the Rfam family "Bacterial small subunit ribosomal RNA", at positions 568 to 898 of the family's 1533-position model. The record is from RNAcentral.
AGCGCAGGCGGGUCGGUUCAGUCACUGGUGAAAUUUCGAGGCUUAACUUCGAGACUGCCAGUGAUACUGCUGAUCUUGAGCGCAGAAGAGGUUGAUGGAAUUCCUGGUGUAGCGGUGAAAUGCGUAGAUAUCAGGAAGAACACCGAUGGCGAAGGCAGUCAACUGGUCUGUUGCUGACGCUCAUGCUCGAAAGCGUGGGGAUCAAACAGGAUUAGAUACCCUGGUAGUCCACGCCUUAAACGAUGAAUACUCGAUGUCGGCCCGCAAGGGUCGGUGUCCAAGCUAACGCAUUAAGUAUUCCACCUGGGAAGUACGAUCGCAAAGUUGAA